AGUGAACGCUGGCGGUAGGCCUAACACAUGCAAGUCGAACGGCAGCACAGGAGAGCUUGCUCUCUGGGUGGCGAGUGGCGGACGGGUGAGGAAUACAUCGGAAUCUACUUUUUCGUGGGGGAUAACGUAGGGAAACUUACGCUAAUACCGCAUACGACCUACGGGUGAAAGCAGGGGACCUUCGGGCCUUGCGCGAUUGAAUGAGCCGAUGUCGGAUUAGCUAGUUGGCGGGGUAAAGGCCCACCAAGGCGACGAUCCGUAGCUGGUCUGAGAGGAUGAUCAGCCACACUGGAACUGAGACACGGUCCAGACUCCUACGGGAGGCAGCAGUGGGGAAUAUUGGACAAUGGGCGCAAGCCUGAUCCAGCCAUACCGCGUGGGUGAAGAAGGCCUUCGGGUUGCAAAGCCCUUUUGUUGGGAAAGAAAUCCAGCUGGCUAAUACCCGGUUGGGAUGACGGUACCCAAAGAAUAAGCACCGGCUGACUUCGUGCCAGCCGCCGCGGUAA
RNAcentral lists this ribosomal RNA (506 nucleotides) under uncultured bacterium. Its description in RNAcentral is "partial 16S ribosomal RNA". It matches the Rfam family "Bacterial small subunit ribosomal RNA", at positions 29 to 523 of the family's 1533-position model. The record is from RNAcentral.